Molecule: ribosomal RNA, 136 nt
Filed under: uncultured Apatococcus
Lineage: Eukaryota; Viridiplantae; Chlorophyta; Trebouxiophyceae
Description: partial 18S ribosomal RNA
Rfam family: Eukaryotic small subunit ribosomal RNA
Source: RNAcentral
CUGGUGAGAUGUCGGGAUUAGUGGCUGUGGGCGGUUCGCCGCCCUCUGCCGCUGAGAACCUCAUCAAACCCUCCCACCUAGAGGAAGGAGAAGUCGUAACAAGGUUCCUGUAGGUGAACCUGCAGGAGGAUCAUUG